CAGCCGCCGCGGGAAUACGUAGGGUGCAAGCGUUAAUCGGAAUUACUGGGCGUAAAGCGUGCGUAGGCGGUGAGUUAAGUCUGCUGUGAAAUCCCCGGGCUCAACCUGGGAAUGGCAGUGGAUACUGGCUCGCUAGAGUGUGUCAGAGGAUGGUGGAAUUCCCGGUGUAGCGGUGAAAUGCGUAGAGAUCGGGAGGAACAUCAGUGGCGAAGGCGGCCAUCUGGGACAACACUGACGCUGAGGCACGAAAGCGUGGGGAGCAAACAGGAUUAGAUACCCCAGUAGUCCCUGUCUCUUAUAC
Molecule: ribosomal RNA, 301 nt
Filed under: uncultured bacterium
Lineage: Bacteria
Description: partial 16S ribosomal RNA
Rfam family: Bacterial small subunit ribosomal RNA
Source: RNAcentral